Molecule: long non-coding RNA, 287 nt
Organism: Helicoverpa zea (corn earworm)
Lineage: Eukaryota; Metazoa; Arthropoda; Insecta; Lepidoptera; Noctuidae
Exons: 2
Source: RefSeq, a predicted model, not a curated record
GAAAAAAUGACGGACACGAAGAGCAACAAAGCUGUAUUACAACGAGCAAGAUCAAAACGCAUUCUAGCGUUGAUUCCUGCAGGAAAUGCACGAUCGGAUGACAGUGACACAACAGACAAUGAGGAAGAUAACACAUCUUUGCCAGUUUAUGGAAUACAACAUGAUUCUUAUAGUAGUUCCUCAACACCUUCACUGGAUUCGGAUAAAAUGUAAUGUGAGAUUAUGUCUAACUACACAACGGAACUGUUUUUACAAUUUUCAUGUAAAAAAAUAAAUUUUCUUGCCAA